RNAcentral lists this ribosomal RNA (402 nucleotides) under Babesia bigemina. RNAcentral's name for it is "SSU rRNA". It matches the Rfam family "Eukaryotic small subunit ribosomal RNA", at positions 453 to 923 of the family's 1831-position model. The record is from RNAcentral. Lineage: Eukaryota; Apicomplexa; Aconoidasida; Piroplasmida; Babesiidae.
GACACAGGGAGGUAGUGACAAGAAAUAACAAUACAGGGCUUUCGUCUUGUAAUUGGAAUGAUGGUGAUGUACAACCUCACCAGAGUACCAAUUGGAGGGCAAGUCUGGUGCCAGCAGCCGCGGUAAUUCCAGCUCCAAUAGCGUAUAUUAAACUUGUUGCAGUUAAAAAGCUCGUAGUUGUAUUUCAGCCUCGCGUUUUUUCCCUCUUUUUGGGUCUUUUCGCUGGCUUUCUUUUUACUUUGAGAAAAUUAGAGUGUUUCAAGCAGACUUUUGUCUUGAAUACUUCAGCAUGGAAUAAUAGAGUAGGACCUUGGUUCUAUUUUGUUGGUUUCGAGCCUUGGUAAUGGUUAAUAGGAACGGUUGGGGGCAUUCGUAUUUAACUGUCAGAGGUGAAAUUCUUAG